GAUCACUGAAAGGAAGAGUGAAGAAUACAUUGCUCUACUCUUAAUUUACACAUGAGGAAACUCAUUCACAGAUUUAUCUGCAGCGAUACCUACACUUUAAUGGUCAGAAUGAACACAACUCUGUGAAUAUACUAAAGACCAUUGUACAUGUUAAAUGGGUGAAUUCUACAGUAAGUGAAUUAUAUUUUAAUAAAAUUGUUGCCAAGGAAAACAAAAGAAUUGGGGAUAUGGGACUAGAGUUCAUGUCUGCUGACAUCCAAUUCAGAGAAAAAAAAAGUAAUAUCCUAACUGCCUUAAUAGAACUAUGAUACAAAGUAACAAAAGUUAAAAAGGUAUGAACUUUUCUGCUGCCUUAAACCUCAGAAAGCCUACCUUUCUUACCACCAAAUGCAAUUAUCCAUGCCAUGGACAUUGGGUCUGAUCAAAGGGUUUGGGGAAUUUAUCAACAAGAAGGCUUUGAUUUGUCAUUUCCCUUGAACUGGUCAUAUUCUGAUUAACAUAUUCAUGAAUGGUCAAAAAUACUUGAAGAUGAGUAAUGAUUUUAACAUUCUUCCUGCUAAUGUCAUUUAUGUAAUUAUGAUGACACCAUCUGACUUUUAUUGCUGCCAUCACAGUCAAACCUUGGGGGGGAUAGGGGAUAAUUCAGAUAUAGUAUUCCUCUGCUGUUUCAGAGAAAAUUACAGGACAAACCCACAUGAGCUCCUAGCAUGAGACCACCCCUAGCCAGAGGGCCACACAAGUUGGUUGAGGAGCAGGGUCUCAGGGGGAUGGUCCCAGCCCACCUGUGCUCUAACAGCUCUGAGGCUCCCGGUCAUAAAGUUAGCCUGUAAAUCUUGCACCCUGUCAUCCCUUCCAAGCUUUGGAACUGUUACUUUCUGAUCCUAUAUAUUUGUGGAAGAUUUUGCUCAUACCUUGUUGUAAUUCUGUGAAUUUAUUUUCCCUUUAAAGCCAAACCUUGGGAAAGAGCACACAUGUUCAUUCAGUUAUUCACUUAUUUACCCAAGCACAUUUGUUUAUUCACUUAUCUAAGCACAUAUAACAAACACCACAUGACUUGGUCCCAUGCUAUAGAUAGUUAGGCCACUACCUUUCCUAUGCCAUGAAAAGGUUCCUUUUUAAGACUCUCAUCUUGGCCAGGCAUGGUGGCCCACACCUGUAAUCCCAGCACUUUGGGAGGCCAAGGUGGGUGGAUCACGAGGUCAGGAGUUUGAGACUAGCCUGGCCAACAUAGUGAAACCGCAUCUCAACUAAAACUACAAAAAAAA
RNAcentral lists this long non-coding RNA (1265 nucleotides) under Homo sapiens (human). Its description in RNAcentral is "non-protein coding lnc-MBD2-8:1". Lineage: Eukaryota; Metazoa; Chordata; Mammalia; Primates; Hominidae. The record is from RNAcentral.